UUAAGCGACUAAGCGUACACGGUGGAUGCCCUGGCAGUCAGAGGCGAUGAAGGACGUGCUAAUCUGCGAUAAGCGUCGGUAAGGUGAUAUGAACCGUUAUAACCGGCGAUUUCCGAAUGGGGAAACCCAGUGUGUUUCGACACACUAUCAUUAACUGAAUCCAUAGGUUAAUGAGGCGAACCGGGGGAACUGAAACAUCUAAGUACCCCGAGGAAAAGAAAUCAACCGAGAUUCCCCCAGUAGCGGCGAGCGAACGGGGAGCAGCCCAGAGCCUGAAUCAGUGUGUGUGUUAGUGGAAGCGUCUGGAAAGGCGCGCGAUACAGGGUGACAGCCCCGUACACAAAAAUGCACAUGCUGUGAGCUCGAUGAGUAGGGCGGGACACGUGGUAUCCUGUCUGAAUAUGGGGGGACCAUCCUCCAAGGCUAAAUACUCCUGACUGACCGAUAGUGAACCAGUACCGUGAGGGAAAGGCGAAAAGAACCCCGGCGAGGGGAGUGAAAAAGAACCUGAAACCGUGUACGUACAAGCAGUGGGAGCCUCUUUUAUGGGGUGACUGCGUACCUUUUGUAUAAUGGGUCAGCGACUUAUAUUCUGUAGCAAGGUUAACCGAAUAGGGGAGCCGAAGGGAAACCGAGUCUUAACUGGGCGUUAAGUUGCAGGGUAUAGACCCGAAACCCGGUGAUCUAGCCAUGGGCAGGUUGAAGGUUGGGUAACACUAACUGGAGGACCGAACCGACUAAUGUUGAAAAAUUAGCGGAUGACUUGUGGCUGGGGGUGAAAGGCCAAUCAAACCGGGAGAUAGCUGGUUCUCCCCGAAAGCUAUUUAGGUAGCGCCUCGUGAAUUCAUCUCCGGGGGUAGAGCACUGUUUCGGCAAGGGGGUCAUCCCGACUUACCAACCCGAUGCAAACUGCGAAUACCGGAGAAUGUUAUCACGGGAGACACACGGCGGGUGCUAACGUCCGUCGUGAAGAGGGAAACAACCCAGACCGCCAGCUAAGGUCCCAAAGUCAUGGUUAAGUGGGAAACGAUGUGGGAAGGCCCAGACAGCCAGGAUGUUGGCUUAGAAGCAGCCAUCAUUUAAAGAAAGCGUAAUAGCUCACUGGUCGAGUCGGCCUGCGCGGAAGAUGUAACGGGGCUAAACCAUGCACCGAAGCUGCGGCAGCGACACUAUGUGUUGUUGGGUAGGGGAGCGUUCUGUAAGCCUGUGAAGGUGUACUGUGAGGUAUGCUGGAGGUAUCAGAAGUGCGAAUGCUGACAUAAGUAACGAUAAAGCGGGUGAAAAGCCCGCUCGCCGGAAGACCAAGGGUUCCUGUCCAACGUUAAUCGGGGCAGGGUGAGUCGACCCCUAAGGCGAGGCCGAAAGGCGUAGUCGAUGGGAAACAGGUUAAUAUUCCUGUACUUGGUGUUACUGCGAAGGGGGGACGGAGAAGGCUAUGUUGGCCGGGCGACGGUUGUCCCGGUUUAAGCGUGUAGGCUGGUUUUCCAGGCAAAUCCGGAAAAUCAAGGCUGAGGCGUGAUGACGAGGCACUACGGUGCUGAAGCAACAAAUGCCCUGCUUCCAGGAAAAGCCUCUAAGCAUCAGGUAACAUCAAAUCGUACCCCAAACCGACACAGGUGGUCAGGUAGAGAAUACCAAGGCGCUUGAGAGAACUCGGGUGAAGGAACUAGGCAAAAUGGUGCCGUAACUUCGGGAGAAGGCACGCUGAUAUGUAGGUGAAGUCCCUCGCGGAUGGAGCUGAAAUCAGUCGAAGAUACCAGCUGGCUGCAACUGUUUAUUAAAAACACAGCACUGUGCAAACACGAAAGUGGACGUAUACGGUGUGACGCCUGCCCGGUGCCGGAAGGUUAAUUGAUGGGGUCAGCGCAAGCGAAGCUCUUGAUCGAAGCCCCGGUAAACGGCGGCCGUAACUAUAACGGUCCUAAGGUAGCGAAAUUCCUUGUCGGGUAAGUUCCGACCUGCACGAAUGGCGUAAUGAUGGCCAGGCUGUCUCCACCCGAGACUCAGUGAAAUUGAACUCGCUGUGAAGAUGCAGUGUACCCGCGGCAAGACGGAAAGACCCCGUGAACCUUUACUAUAGCUUGACACUGAACAUUGAGCCUUGAUGUGUAGGAUAGGUGGGAGGCUUAGAAGUGUGGACGCCAGUCUGCAUGGAGCCGACCUUGAAAUACCACCCUUUAAUGUUUGAUGUUCUAACGUUGACCCGUAAUCCGGGUUGCGGACAGUGUCUGGUGGGUAGUUUGACUGGGGCGGUCUCCUCCUAAAGAGUAACGGAGGAGCACGAAGGUUGGCUAAUCCUGGUCGGACAUCAGGAGGUUAGUGCAAUGGCAUAAGCCAGCUUGACUGCGAGCGUGACGGCGCGAGCAGGUGCGAAAGCAGGUCAUAGUGAUCCGGUGGUUCUGAAUGGAAGGGCCAUCGCUCAACGGAUAAAAGGUACUCCGGGGAUAACAGGCUGAUACCGCCCAAGAGUUCAUAUCGACGGCGGUGUUUGGCACCUCGAUGUCGGCUCAUCACAUCCUGGGGCUGAAGUAGGUCCCAAGGGUAUGGCUGUUCGCCAUUUAAAGUGGUACGCGAGCUGGGUUUAGAACGUCGUGAGACAGUUCGGUCCCUAUCUGCCGUGGGCGCUGGAGAACUGAGGGGGGCUGCUCCUAGUACGAGAGGACCGGAGUGGACGCAUCACUGGUGUUCGGGUUGUCAUGCCAAUGGCACUGCCCGGUAGCUAAAUGCGGAAGAGAUAAGUGCUGAAAGCAUCUAAGCACGAAACUUGCCCCGAGAUGAGUUCUCCCUGACCCUUUAAGGGUCCUGAAGGAACGUUGAAGACGACGACGUUGAUAGGCCGGGUGUGUAAGCGCAGCGAUGCGUUGAGCUAACCGGUACUAAUGAACCGUGAGGCUUAACCUU
This 2901-nucleotide ribosomal RNA is filed under the name Escherichia coli. RNAcentral describes it as "bacterial LSU rRNA". It matches the Rfam family "Bacterial large subunit ribosomal RNA". The record is from RNAcentral. Lineage: Bacteria; Pseudomonadati; Pseudomonadota; Gammaproteobacteria; Enterobacterales; Enterobacteriaceae.